This is a long non-coding RNA of Pipistrellus kuhlii (Kuhl's pipistrelle), 409 nucleotides long. RefSeq lists it as uncharacterized. The record is from RefSeq and is a predicted model, not a curated record. Lineage: Eukaryota; Metazoa; Chordata; Mammalia; Chiroptera; Vespertilionidae. The transcript has 2 exons.
ACCAUAUAAUCCAACAACUCCACUCCUUUCAAAUUCAGAGAACUGAAAGCAGGGACUUGAACAGAUACUUACCUGUACAUGACUAUUCACAGCAUCCUGAUUCACAAAACCUAAAGGUGUAUCCACGGACAAAUGAAUGAACAAAGAAAACAUGAUCCAUCCAUACAGUGGAAUAUUAGUCAGCCUUCAAAAGGAAGUACGGUCCAGCCAGGGUGGCUCAGUGGUUGAGCAUUGACCUCUGAACCAGAAUGUCAUCAUUCGAUUCUGGUUAGGGCACAUGCCCGGGUUACGGGCUCGAUCUUCAGUGUAGGGCAUGCUGGAGGCAGCCGACCAAUGAUUCUUUCUCAUCAUUGAUGUUUCUCUCUCUCUCUCCCUUUCCCUUCUUCUGUGAAAUCAAUAAAAAUAUAUU